RNAcentral lists this ribosomal RNA (465 nucleotides) under Vreelandella stevensii. RNAcentral's name for it is "partial 16S ribosomal RNA". It matches the Rfam family "Bacterial small subunit ribosomal RNA", at positions 338 to 795 of the family's 1533-position model. The record is from RNAcentral. Lineage: Bacteria; Pseudomonadati; Pseudomonadota; Gammaproteobacteria; Oceanospirillales; Halomonadaceae.
CCUACGGGCGGCAGCAGUGGGGAAUAUUGGACAAUGGGGGGAACCCUGAUCCAGCCAUGCCGCGUGUGUGAAGAAGGCCCUCGGGUUGUAAAGCACUUUCAGUGAGGAAGAACGCCUGGUGGUUAAUACCCAUCAGGAAAGACAUCACUCACAGAAGAAGCCCCGGCUAACUCCGUGCCAGCAGCCGCGGUAAUACGGAGGGUGCGAGCGUUAAUCGGAAUUACUGGGCGUAAAGGGCGCGUAGGUGGCUUGAUAAGCCGGUUGUGAAAGCCCCGGGCUCAACCUGGGAACGGCAUCCGGAACUGUCAAGCUAGAGUGCAGGAGAGGAAGGUAGAAUUCCCGGUGUAGCGGUGAAAUGCGUAGAGAUCGGGAGGAAUACCAGUGGCGAAGGCGGCCUUCUGGACUGAAACUGACACUGAGGUGCGAAAGCGUGGGUAGCAAACAGGAUUAGAUACCCCGGUAGUC